CUUGUACUUUCACCGGUGGGCAGGCCAGUGCUCGCUAAUGUUAUCUUUUACAAGUGAGACAACUCUCGAUCCAAAAUGGCGGCGACCGAACGACGGAAGUCGUAUCAGGGAGCAGGGCAAUGGCUGGAUUGCCAAAAUGGUUCCAUUACUUCCAGCACAACAGUGCGGGUCCCUGUCAUCACCAGUCUGGUGACUGUCCUGUAGUCCAGGUAGAGAACACACUGGCCAUUCACCUGACACACAAACUGCCGCACCUAAGGAACAGGAGCAACUGCUGCGGGGCUUCCAGGGUCAACAGCCUGCACGUAACAAGGAGCCACGCCUCUGACAACAAAGCCCCAGCCCAGGGCAUCUCCUAUCACCUGUGAUGGUCGGAGGGAUUGCAUCUCACCACUGACGAUGAAGACUGGGCGAGAGGUGGGAAUCCAGCUGAGUGAAGCUGAAGGGAAUUCAAGCUGCCUCGACGCCCACUGGUAACCUGUUUCAGACUGAAAAGCGCUGUUGCCCUCCUGAGGUUGGCUUUUGCGCAGAACAAAUGGACUUUCAGGAUGGGUGUCCUCGGGUGUCGACACUGCCACUCCUUCGUCUUCGUCUCGUUCGCUUUCAUUUAAAAGCGCAGAUAGACGGCGACGGCGGCGGAAAUUGAUGCAGAACUGAUAGAGCAGUCCGCUGUCAAAGAAGUCAUGUUUCUUUGCCACUAGUGAUGGGAGUGCAAGAGAGCACAAAACAACAGGUCUCACAUUAAUGGGGUGUCUCACAAAGAGUUGAUCAGUAUAUAUGCUUUAGAUUGCAAAAGUCCCAGCUAGCCAUCCACUGCAUGCAGCCACCGGCUGCAGACUCAUUGCUGUUGCCAUACAUCAAAGGGGCAAAUGAGGACGCUCCUCACCGUGCUGAAUGAUGCCAUGCUCCUGCAAUGUGCGGCACAGCUCCAGUCCCCGGCGCCGGGACUCUGCCUCUGCAUUCUGAAGGAGCCAGUCAAUCAACUGGCAGCCGGGAAAGGAGCGCCGAUAUGCAACGCCAUGCUCCUCUCUCAGCUGCAGAAUGGAGUUUUUGUCUGCUAUGAGCCUGAAGAGCACAAAUCAAAUGCUUCAUAACAUGCAAAUGACAUUUGAGAAAUACUGAAAGCAGCAUUUCUGCAAAUUACAAAUAUAUACUGUGUUGCUUUGUGUGAAAUUGUAACCUCAUCCUAUCCUGAUCAACUCAGUGUGUGUGAGCAUGACUGUGACUGACAUUGCAUUUCAAGGUUAGCUGUUGAAACAGGAGAAUCACAGUGUAAGACAAACAGCAGCUCUUACUGUUCAUAUAGUUGUUGUCCUCGCAUGAAGAUUUUCACCUCUGUACUGAAGGGAAAUGUGCCAUCGUCUUUGCGGAAACGGUACAGCAGUUUGGCAUCCUUGAAGACUGGCCUCUUAUCACACACUGAGAAAAGGCAACACACAGUUUCAAACGACUUCUUUAAUCAGAGAGUCUGUAAAUAAAAGUACAAUCACAUUUUUUCUCUCAA
Molecule: long non-coding RNA, 1504 nt
Organism: Acanthopagrus latus (yellowfin seabream)
Lineage: Eukaryota; Metazoa; Chordata; Actinopteri; Spariformes; Sparidae
Exons: 5
Source: RefSeq, a predicted model, not a curated record